GCCUCCGUGGUCUAGAGGUCAGGACAUCGCCCUCUCAAGGCGGCAACACGGGUUCAAUUCCCGUCGGAGGUGCCA
RNAcentral lists this transfer RNA (75 nucleotides) under Clostridia bacterium. RNAcentral's name for it is "tRNA-Glu". It matches the Rfam family "tRNA". Rfam says of the family: Transfer RNA (tRNA) molecules are approximately 80 nucleotides in length. Their secondary structure includes four short double-helical elements and three loops (D, anti-codon, and T loops). Further hydrogen bonds mediate the characteristic L-shaped molecular structure. tRNAs have two regions of fundamental functional importance: the anti-codon, which is responsible for specific mRNA codon recognition, and the 3' end, to which the tRNAs corresponding amino acid is attached (by aminoacyl-tRNA synthetases). tRNAs cope with the degeneracy of the genetic code in two manners: having more than one tRNA (with a specific anti-codon) for a particular amino acid; and 'wobble' base-pairing, i.e. permitting non-standard base-pairing at the 3rd anti-codon position. RNAcentral also lists the same sequence under 1 other name. Lineage: Bacteria; Bacillati; Bacillota; Clostridia. The record is from RNAcentral.